GGACAAGUCAAGUCCUACAAAAUGGCAACCGUUGGUGGACGGUUACACACCUACAAAUAACCUA
Non-coding RNA from [Clostridium] clostridioforme 90A6, 64 nucleotides. The record is from Rfam. NCBI's taxonomy places the organism in Bacteria, Bacillati, Bacillota, Clostridia, Lachnospirales, Lachnospiraceae.